Molecule: ribosomal RNA, 496 nt
Filed under: uncultured bacterium
Lineage: Bacteria
Description: partial 16S ribosomal RNA
Rfam family: Bacterial small subunit ribosomal RNA
Source: RNAcentral
GGUGAACGCUGCGGCGUGCCUAAUACAUGCAAGUCGAGCGAACAGACGAGGAGCUUGCUCCUCUGACGUUAGCGGCGGACGGGUGAGUAACACGUGGAUAACCUACCUAUAAGACUGGGAUAACUUCGGGAAACCGGAGCUAAUACCGGAUAAUAUAUUGAACCGCAUGGUUCAAUAGUGAAAGACGGUUUUGCUGUCACUUAUAGAUGGAUCCGCGCCGCAUUAGCUAGUUGGUAAGGUAACGGCUUACCAAGGCAACGAUGCGUAGCCGACCUGAGAGGGUGAUCGGCCACACUGGAACUGAGACACGGUCCAGACUCCUACGGGAGGCAGCAGUAGGGAAUCUUCCGCAAUGGGCGAAAGCCUGACGGAGCAACGCCGCGUGAGUGAUGAAGGUCUUCGGAUCGUAAAACUCUGUUAUUAGGGAAGAACAAAUGUGUAAGUAACUAUGCACGUCUUGACGGUACCUAAUCAGAAAGCCACGGCUAACUACGUG